UAUCUCUCCGUACGGGGAAGGAUGAGAAGCUUCGACUAAGGUUCGAUUCGAGCGCAGCGAGAAAGCGUUGCCGCAGGCAACGACCCGAAGGGCGAAGCGCGCAGCGCUGAGUC
Molecule: small RNA, 113 nt
Filed under: Salmonella enterica subsp. enterica serovar Typhi str. 404ty
Lineage: Bacteria; Pseudomonadati; Pseudomonadota; Gammaproteobacteria; Enterobacterales; Enterobacteriaceae
Also listed under: 1 other name
Description: partial RtT sRNA
Rfam family: RtT RNA
About the family: This family represents a bacterial cis-regulatory element known as RtT RNA. The exact function of RtT is unknown although it is thought that it may be involved in changing the cellular response in relation to amino acid starvation.
Source: RNAcentral